RNAcentral lists this unclassified non-coding RNA (226 nucleotides) under Hevea brasiliensis (rubber tree). Lineage: Eukaryota; Viridiplantae; Streptophyta; Magnoliopsida; Malpighiales; Euphorbiaceae. The record is from RNAcentral.
CCCCACAGUGAAUAUUCAUAAUCAAAGGCAAUGGAGGCGGCAGUUAUGGUAUCGCGAGCGAGGCGGACGGGGACGGUGGUGCAGAUCUUGAAAGCAGUAGCUGGAUCUUCGGAAGUGGCAAUGGCGGCCCCGCCAGUGAAAAUCGCGGUGGCUGCAACGGCAAGCUUUGCCCGGCUGCGCCAUAGAGAUCGCGUGGCCAUUCUCCCUCCUUUAUUUUCUGAAAUCG